RNAcentral lists this ribosomal RNA (253 nucleotides) under uncultured bacterium. Its description in RNAcentral is "partial 16S ribosomal RNA". It matches the Rfam family "Bacterial small subunit ribosomal RNA", at positions 524 to 776 of the family's 1533-position model. The record is from RNAcentral.
UACAGAGGUGGCAAGCGUUGUUCGGAAUUACUGGGCGUAAAGGGCGCGUAGGCGGUCUUUUAAGUCUUGUGUGAAAUCCCUCGGCUUAACCGAGGAACUGCCUCCCAAACUGCUUGGCUUGAGACCAGGAGAGGUGAGUGGAAUUCCCAGUGUAGCGGUGAAAUGCGUAGAUAUUGGGAGGAACACCAGUGGCGAAGGCGGCUCACUGGACUGGUACUGACGCUGAGGCGCGAAAGCUAGGGGAGCAAACAGG